UCGUUUAUUUUACUUUCCAACCCUAUUGUUUUUCUAUUCCUUCAAACCCUAGCCGUAAAUUGUAAUCCCAAAAUUUUCAAAAUUCACAUCCUCACCUUCCUCCCUUUGCUGCAAGAAGACGUUAAAUUUGAAUUUGUCUCGUCCUAGCUGUAGUAGACACGCACCUCUACAAUUCUCAUCUUUGUUUUCGCUAAACGACUCGUCGACUACUGGUGCUUCGGAGUCAAAUCAGUUUUUGUCGCUUGCCAGGUUUUUCACGUGGAUUAGCAAGCAGUGAGUUUGUAGUGCUAUUUACCGCUUUAUUAAGUACCGCAUCGUAUUUUAAUAUUAUAAAUGUUUGUGAACUGUUUUUACGGAUUAUGGAUCUGGAUUGAAACGAGCUACUCGAUAGGCUUGUAUCGAGACUGUGUGCACUGGUAAGUACUCUGGGAAACGGCAGACUAUGGUCUUGCUUACGCUGGUAAUUUGACGAGGAUUUGUUCCCGUCCACUCUGGGUUUAUUUUUCAGUAUGCUAUGGCAUACUUACGCUGGGAUCUUUUCAAUACUGUUUUCCAUAAUCAUACUAUAUUAGUAUAAACUAUUUUGAUUUAAGGGUUUUAAACUUAAUAAAUGUAAAUAGUAUUGCGAACUCAUCUCAGUAUAUCUGACCCCGUUGUUUUCCCAAAUUUUCCAGGUUUAUGAUUUGAAAGCUGGUCCACUCCGAUCCUUUUAUUCUUCGGAGGGUUAUUUUAUUUUGUAUAGAUUGUCAAACUGAUUUUUAUUCUUAGACCGCAGUAGUAAAACUAGAAGUUCA
Mercurialis annua (annual mercury) is the source of this 794-nucleotide long non-coding RNA. RefSeq lists it as uncharacterized. NCBI's taxonomy places the organism in Eukaryota, Viridiplantae, Streptophyta, Magnoliopsida, Malpighiales, Euphorbiaceae. The transcript is spliced from 3 exons. The record is from RefSeq and is a predicted model, not a curated record.